UAAAGACAGUCACUGACUCUUUCCUGGUGACAGAGUCACCGACUCCGUCCUGGCCCCAAGCUAAAAGGACGACCACAGACCCAACGAGACAGAAGGGACAGAAGGGACCUGUGACAGAAGCUCAAGAUGGCUCAGCCUGCUCUGACUGCUUCACACGGCUGAGGAGAUGGUAUCUCUCUCACAGCCCAUCUAGGCCUCCACCUGGCUUUCCUGGCCCUCUCUCUGGGCUUCCGAUCCCCGCCUGCCAGUGAUGUCUUCUAUCCCAGCCACCAAGCACCACCUUUUGCCAGCCAGCAAAACGCAAAUGUCAUUAGCACUCCACAAGCUGCAAGCCUUCCCUGUAGCAAAGAAGGACACUGAUGCUCAAGGUCAAGCAGCCAGCGAGGCUUGGCCUCUCCAGGCCUCAUCAGGCCCUGCAUCCCAGGAGUAGCAAGUUACAAGCAAAUAAACCAUGAUGACUCAGAGAAGUCUGAUCUUAAAAUAUUAUUAAAGAGAAAGACUGUUGUAUGACUCUGAACAGCCUGUUUAUUAAACUCCAGCUAAUAAGUGAAAUGAGUUAAGUUAAUGAAAAAACAACCUUCGGGAAGGAUUUCAUCACCUAACGGUGGCCCAUAAACAUCAACAUGAAAAUUUAAAGCGCAAGAAUGAAUAUGGACGUCAGCGGCGGGGGAGGCUGCAGGGGAGCAACCACGGAUCCCAGCGGCUUCUUCUCACCCGUGGGGUCUCUGGGAAGUCAUAAAGGAAGGAGUUAUUUCCCAUUGUUCACACACAAGGAUGCUAGGUGCUGAAUUUAAAUUGUCUCUCGUUCCUAAUUAGUAGGGAUGAAAUUAGAAUCCAUGUAUGGGAGAAUUGGAAAGGGCUGAGGAGCCUCUGCAUACAGAUUUCUUUGUUUUCCAGACUGCAGCCAGAGAAAGAGAGAGAGACAGACAGACAGACAGACAGACAGACACAGACAGAGACAUAAAGAGAAAGAGACAGAAAGGCAGAGAGACAGAGGAGAGACAGGAGAGAGAGAGAGAAGAAACAGAAAGAGAGAGAGAGAAAAGAGAAGAGAGACAGAGAGGCAAGAGAGACAGAGACAUAGAGAGAACGAGACAGAGAAAGGCAGAAAGACAGAUGAGAGAGAGAAGAGAGGAGAGACAGAAGAGAGAGAAGAAAGAGAGAAAGAGAGAGAGAAGAAAGAGAAAUAGAGAGAGAGAGAGAACCCUUUAAGCCACACAGAAAAAGGGCACAUGUUGAUAUCCAAGUUGGCAGACCAUUCUAAGUCACACAAGCAUCCUCUCUGUGCAGAGAGGCUGAGCCCAUGUGCCAACCAAGCUUGACCGGAGAGAACCGAACUC
Long non-coding RNA from Mus musculus (house mouse), 1340 nucleotides. RefSeq annotates it as predicted gene, 32824. NCBI's taxonomy places the organism in Eukaryota, Metazoa, Chordata, Mammalia, Rodentia, Muridae. The transcript is spliced from 4 exons. The record is from RefSeq and is a predicted model, not a curated record.